RNAcentral lists this long non-coding RNA (4847 nucleotides) under Zea mays. RNAcentral's name for it is "long non-coding RNA (ZMAY_LNC003112)". Lineage: Eukaryota; Viridiplantae; Streptophyta; Magnoliopsida; Poales; Poaceae. The record is from RNAcentral.
AUUUUUAGAAAAGCCCAAUUCACCCCCUCUCUUGGGCAUCGUGAUCCUUUCAGUCUCUCUCGUAAUUUCGGGAUAACGUGGACAACCUUGGCAGGAGAUGGUGGUUAGUAGGGCUGAAAAAUAAGCUCGAGCGAGCUAUGCAAAAUUAUUUAAUAUGAAUAAUAAUAAUAGAUAUUGAAUAAUUUUAUAGAGAGCCUGUUUGUUUCUUAGCGUUUCAUGAUAGAUAUAUGUCAAUUCAUAAUUUAGAUUACUCAUAAUAAUGAAUAAUAUCUAUAUAUUUUAUAUUUAUAUACUAAUAAUUCACUAAAUAAUUCAAUUAUAUAUAUCAUUGUGUGGCUCGCGAGCCGAACCGUGAAAUGGGCGAGCCGAGCCGAGCUCGGCUUGUUUCCAGCUCCAGUUGUUAACCCCAUCCUGAAUUAGAUCCAAUCUCACCGAAAUCAUCGUACUACAAAUCAAGUCGAUAUAACAAACAUAUAUGAUACGACUUUGUGAUGCCAGUAGAAAUCAAUCGGCAGCUUCAUCAGUGAUCAGUCCAGAUGUAAAGCUAAUCAUACAUUUGUGCAGAAAAGUCACUUCAGAGAUCAAAGCUUUAGAAUCCCUCACAAAACGAGAAGAUUACGCAUUGGACCCCAGCACAAGAUUCAAAUACAACCAAAGAUAGAUUGGGAGCCAUGAAAAAAAAGAAAAGCACGUACGGAUGGUCAAUCUCAACCCUACUCUUGUAUUUGUCGUCCAAAGACUAGAACCCAGCUAGAAAAAUGACAGCUAGAAAAAUGACGACUGCAUCUCUAUUUACACGGUGGGAAGUGGGAACCUGCCCUGGUUUUGUUUCUGUGGUCAUUGCACUAGUGGCAGACCGAUUUGGUACAUAACAAGAAAAACUGAAGCUGUUUCAAAGAACUCGUUUGGUACUUUGGCCACCAAUUUCUAGUGGGUCCAUGCAACUCCUGUACCCUUAAUCUUGAUCUCACUAGCAGAAGAAUUUUUACCGUAUAAGCCUCAAUGAAACAAUCUGGAUGUGGUUACGGAAGAUCCCUGUACUUGAGAACAUCAGUCUUGUCCAAAUCAUACUCCUGGCAUAUACUCGAAAUGGUAUGACAGUCCAAACCUUCAUAUAAGUUUCUACCCUCAAGAAACCUGUCAAGCUUUUCUGACGGCCGCAGCUUCUGUUCAUGAAAAAAAACAUUAAGGGCUAGUUUGAAAACACUAUUUUUUUAAGGGAUUCCUAUUUUCUCAAGGAAAAAUGAACUAAUUUUUCUUUGAAAAAUGAAAAUCUUUUGGGAAAAAAGGGUUCUCAAACUAGCCCUAAGACUGGUAGCAACGGUAGCCUGUAUAUUGCAUCCCCUAAAUACUAAUUUAAAGAUUCCUCCAAAAGAUUUCUUCCCGUAAAUAAAUUUUAUCCGCAACGGUAUCCUAUAAGGCAUAUCCUCUAUGUCCUACGGGUCCAUGCCCAAUCACGCGAAUGAGAGGAGGAGCCGGGAGCUGGAGGACUUGCCGGACGCUCUCUUGUCCCCCAUAUCUACGGGAUGGAGCCGCCCCCCUGGAUAAUACAGGACGAGGUACUGGAUACCGCUGCAGACGUUUUUUAUUCUUAGAUCUGGUAUUCUACGGGUCCAGGACAACAUACAGGCCACCGCUGCUACCAGUAUAACUAAGUAAAAUGCAGGGAAAAGAAGUAAUUGAAACCUAACAAAUUCAUUUAUUUUUUUGGAUACUCACACCCGAACAGCCCUUGUUCCGCGACCUCUCUCAGACAACAUGUAUUGCACAAACAAAUAUGAUUUACUCCACAAUACAAAACAUGGAUCCAUGCAGGUUCGCUUGCCAUUGGCUUUGCAUUCAUUUCAUAAAGAUUGGGAGCUGCUGGUGUGGCUCAUUUAAUCUUAACUUAUACCAGAUAACCAGAAAGGCAAAUUUAUAGUAGUUCGAGUCCAGCACUACAGCACGGUAGUAUGUUACUCAUCUGUGCAUAUUCUAAGAGGCACUGAACACAUUUAAAAAGGUGGCUCAUUGGGAACAUUUGAAUACAGAACUACAGCCAUCAGCCAAAUCAAUGCAACAGCCUAAGAUGCUCCCAUGGCAUAAUUUGACAAAUGUUUCGAUGAAAUCUCAUCCAGACCUGCCCAACACGAUUGCAUUCCGUCAAGUGAUAGGACCUCAGUGAAAGAAGAUAGGCGAUUAGGUGGAACGAAUUCUCUAUUGUGUAGGCUGUACUUAUACAUGCAAAGGCUGGAUUUAUGCGAAGGACUGUACAUGCAAAGGAAAGAAUCAAAGCUAUCCUCCUAAUGUCCUCUAAUCUAGCCUAAUUGAUACAGUCUAUAAAAGUACAUGCAGAUAUGAUCUGCUAUUAGUGCCAGCAAUGACAGAGAUAGGAAGACCAGUAAUGGUAUAAACGAGGAACUGUAGCAACACACUGCCCUGAACAGCCAUUCAAUCUCUACUACUCUAUACUAGUGUUUAGCGCGCGCCCAGCGCGCGUGAGCACAUAUGUCUUAAGAGUUUGGUGUAAGUACCCAGCCAUGUAAAACAAAUUUAAAUAUAAUAUGAUUAUAUAAUAUGUAGGCAGGAAACAAAAUGUAAGCAUAUAACGUUAUUUUUAUGUAAUAUAGUUGAUACCAGUUGCAUAGUGAAUUUAGACUACAAAACAUUCUAAGUAGCAUUCAACCACCAUAUAUCAACACUUUGCAACAUGUAAUAGCUGAUACCAGUUAUAGAGUGAAUUUAGACUACAAUGCGUACUAAGGCCCUGUUUCAAUCUCGCGAGAUAAACUUUAGCAGCUAUUUUUUAGCUACUUUUAGCCAUUUGUAAUCUAAACAGGAGAGCUAAUGGUGGUAAUUGAAGCUAAACUUUAGCACUUCAAUUCAUAUAACUAAAGUUUAGCAGGAAGCUAAACUUUAUCCCAUGAGAUUGAAACGGGGCCUAAGUAGCAUUCGACCACCAUAUAUCAACAUUUAGCAACAGUGUGCUUGCAGGUGUUAAGUUAAUAUGUACAGAUCCACAAAUAGUCUAAGCAAUUUAGUAAACCCAAAGGAUAAAAACAGGAAGCAAAACUCGAGAAGGUAUUAAAUUGAAACUAAUUUGGACAAACAAAAUCAAACCGGGUUACUUUUCUUUCUCCAAAAAGCAACUGUGCAAGAUGCUAUCUUUAUUUAAGAAAACGAUGCAAAUAAUUUCCUUGUUUUUAGAGCUUUCCAGAACAAAAAAAUGAUGCGGCAGAUUUACACACCAUAGUCUGGAGCAGAACAAUCAGAGAGUAGAUGGAAGAGUCGGGACAGAGAGGAACAACUUUUUUUUUCCUUCAAAAUAUCAGUUAAAACCCUAAACCCAAAAUUAGGCCGUAAAAAGGGAUUUCCUCACUACUAAACCAGAGAAGAAAAAUAGUGGCGUGUUGGAAUCUUGGUGCGUUCAUAAACAAAAGAAAGCGAAAUCUCAACUUCGAGUAGAUUAUUUUACCCAAAGGAAAUUAGUUGUUAACGAAAUUGAAAUAGUUGACAAAGGAAGAAUGGAAACACAGUUGGAAGAAUGGAAACACAGCCAAAAAAUAAGAUGACAGCAAAACCGUUAAAAAACUAAAAAGAAUGCAAUAUGCACUUGAUGCGAACAACUUUACCAAAAGAAAAUAGUAUAAUGAAGUUCAAUAAAGUACAAACAGAACAUAACCUGCCCUUAUUGAAGUUCAAUGAAAUAAAAAACAUUUACUUGCAGAUCUAAAUGUACCAAAGCAAGAGGAUACGACAAAAAACAAUAGAUUGGAAUUGGAACCAGAUGUCCACAUGCGAAAGACUUUACCAAAAAGAAAUAAUUGCCUUUUCAGUCUCAAUCUCCAAAAUAGAGUUCAAUGAGGUAGAACACUUCCUUAUAUGUCUGCACAUGCCAAAGCUAUCAAAGAAAAAUACUUGCCUUUUCGGUCCCAAUUUUCAUCUCGGUAAAAAGCAAGAGGAUCUCGACUAGAGAAGCCUGGAUCUAAUCCACAAAGGAAUAUGGAAAAAGAUAUCCACCGAAUGGAAACGCACGACGAAGGAUAAAGGGGAAAACACAUCUCACCAAACAAACGGAGCCACUGAGCAAGCUGACAAUAGACGAAAUAUUCGUGUGGAAGCGGAGUUCCUGACGCCUGACGCCGACGGUAGCAAAGAAAGGCAGAGAGGAGGAAAAGCGAGAAAGCAGAGAGGAGGAAAAGCCAGAAAGAACUGGGAGAGGAAGCGACACCCGACGGAUGGAGAGAAAUAUCUGUGGAACUCUCUGGAGGCAGCUGUCAUGUUCUCUGUAUUUUACCGCUCCUCAACUGUUGCAACACCACACAUGCAGCGUAGAUUCAAAAUCGUGCCGUCCAGAAAUUCUUGCCGACGUGGAUACCGUGACCUUUGCCGUUUUGUAUCGACUUUGUAAUAUAGAAAAUGUUCUUAGCGUAGGCGUCCACAGGCCCUGUUGUGCCCCCCGCGAGCACGCCGUGAUUUCUCCACGCGCAGCCCCCGCAAUCCGCCGCGCCAAAUCCGCCGCCACAACCCUGCGCCCAAAAACGCCCGCCCGCCGCGAUUUCUCCACCCGCAGCCCCCGCAAUCUGCCGCCUUUCCAUCCGCGGCCGCAAUCAUUUCCAUCCGCGACCGCAAUCCACCGCGCCAAAUCCGCCGCCACACCCCUGCGCCCGCAACGCCCGCCCCUGCGCCAAAUCCUCCUUGGACGCGCCCCGACGGCUGGCGCAACCCCUGCUCGUGCCACGACUUGCGUAGAAUGGAAGGUCCGUGGAGCAACUCCUCCUUGAUUGAGCGGAGAAUGGAAGGUCACCGUACGACAUUGGUCGAGAGGAGGAGGUUGAGGAUGGAUGCCCGCAACGCCACGCCCGCCC